UUAAAACUACUUUUAAUUCAGUGUGUGUGUGUGUGUGUGUGUGUGUGUGUGUGUGUGUGUACAAGUUACAGGACAGCUUGAUGAAUCUGGUUCUCUUUAACCAUCUAGAUCCCAGGAAUAUAAUUCAGGAGGUUAAACUUGGUAACAAAUGCUGUUACAUGUUGAGACUUCCCACCUAUCCAAUACUGCACAAUGUAAAUCAAAUUGUUUAAAGUACCCAGAAUUCCUAUGGGUGCCUCAGCAGUGUUAAACAGUCCCAGGACAGUUACAUUAGGUCUUUUAAACAAUGACUUAAUAUGUUGUCUGGAGAUAACAUAUUAUGGGCUACAUACUAAAUUCUAGUCAGAAAUAAGAAGUGUAUAAAUAUCUCUCGUAUUUCUGAUUUUCCAUUGCUGUGGUAGUUGUGCAUUUGUAUUGGACCAUGUUCAUGUGUAGCUAAAAGAUAACAUGAAAGCAGUUGAGUGGAGACUUGAGAAACCAUCUCCAUAGCUCUGUCAGACCUGAAAUCAGCAGUUUCCCAAGGAGUCCUGGAUCCUUUUAAUAGAGUCCCUUUCUCUGUCUCAUUGUCUGGAGGACUAGAAACAGAGGCUGGAUGUCCCAGAGACCUAGGAGAAAACCAAAAAUGACUGGCAAAAAAGUCAAUGAAGGAGACCUAAUGAUAUUCUGCUUUACUGAUAGAUUGAUGGCUGGCCCAAUUGUCACCAGUGAGGCUUCAUCCAGAAACUGAUGGAAUAGCUACAGAGAUUGACAGUCAAACAUUAGGAGGAGUUUGAAGAAUACCCUGAAGAAGGAGAGGACAGAUUGUAGGAGCCAAGGUGGUCAAGGACACCCCAAGAAAACCCUCCAAAACAAGAAACUUAGAAUCAUAGGAGCUGAGACUGAACCAUCAAGGAGCCUUCACGAGACUCUCAUAGGCCCUCUGCAUAUAUAUUAUAGUUUUGUGUCAUGAUGUUCUUGUGUGACUCUUAAAAGUUGGACCAGGUGCAGUAUCUGACACUUUUGCUUGCUUUUGAGACCCUUUCUUCCCACUGGGUUGCCUCAUGCAGCCUUAAGAUAAGGGGAGGUUCCUGAUAUUUUGCAAAGUAAUAUGCCAUGUUUGGUUGAUAUCCUGGGAGACUUUCCUUUUUCUGAAGGAAAAACAAAGGAGCAGUGCAUGGGGGGAGGGUAGAGGUUGGAGGGGAUGAAGAAUGUAGGAGUGGAGGGACAAAGGGAGGGAACAUAUGGUCAGGAUGUAAUAUAUGAGGAAACAAGUUAAUUUUUAAAUUAAAAAGAUAGACGAAGAUUCCUGGCAUUGACAACUCACAGUUUUCAACAAAAAGAGUUAAUUAAGAAAUGUAUCUAUUCUACUAAAUCAGUGUUCACAUAUUUAGUUUUGACUCUGUGUCAAGUAUUUUUUGAAUAAAGUUUGUGAUUUAAAUUCUCUUAAGAUUCUUUGCAACCACUCUGGAAAUCAGUCUGGCAGUUCCUCAGAAAAUUGGGUAUGACACAUCCGGAGGACCCUGCUAUACCACUCCUGGGCAUAUAUCCAGAGGAUUCCCCAGCAUGUAAUAAAGACACACGCUCCACUAUGUUCAUAGCAGCCUUAUUUGUAAUAGCCAGAAACUGGAAAGAACCCAGAUGUCUCUCAGUGGAGGAAUGGA
Long non-coding RNA from Apodemus sylvaticus (European woodmouse), 1640 nucleotides. RefSeq lists it as uncharacterized. The transcript is spliced from 3 exons. Lineage: Eukaryota; Metazoa; Chordata; Mammalia; Rodentia; Muridae. The record is from RefSeq and is a predicted model, not a curated record.